AAUGAACCCUGCCCAUUGGACUUGGUUUUUAGACGUACACACACACACAAACAUCCAUUGGUUUAUAACGUCUCUCUCGAGAGGGGGGAUACUUAAAUAAAUAAGAAAAAAAACCCGCUCGCAGAUGGUGAAAUGUUGUUAUCUUCUCUCUUUUUUAACCAACUUUAUUUUUUCUCUUCUCUCUUUGCCUCCCAAAAUCUCUGAGAGAUUGACUUUGACUCUGCACUUUAAGCGACUUUAAAGGUUGUUGGCAGCGGGUCGUGAAGGCAAAGCCAAGAUUUUUGUGACUGGUCAUCGACUGAGCUGCUGCUGCUGCUGCUGAAACUAGGGGGGAGGGAGGCAAAAAAAAAAUAAGUUUUAAGAAGGGAAGAAAGAAAAAAAGUCGCUUUUGGUAUACACAUACUUGUCCCGUUUGUGUACUUACUUAGGAGCGACUGGAAAUGCCGCGUUCAAAUAUUUUAACUUGCUAGAAGGAAAUAUAUAUAUACAUAAAGACGAAGUAGUAUAAGCCAGGGGGGUACCAUACUGAGUAAGAAAGAAAGAAGAAGAAAAAAAAGAAGUUAAAAGAUAGGAAAUUGAAAGAGAACUUGCUGUGUCAAGUUGUUUGCUCCGUUGCUCGAUAAGUAGACAAAAUGCGCCCGGGUCCCGACAUCCCGUCAACAUCAUCCAGCCGAUUGGAAUUUUUGUUUUUUUCUUCUUUUUCUUUACAAGGAAGAAAAAAAAUGAAAUUUCUCUCAUGUCAGAUCUUUUUUUCCAUCUCUUGCUUUUUUUUUUUUUAAGUGAGUUUUUAAAAGGAAAGGCACUUGACAUUGAUUGCAGCGAGCCAUCUGUGAAUAGAUGAUGGAACGAUGGCGAUGGAACAAAAGUCUGAGGAAGAAGAAGAAGAAGGCGAAUCAAUACCCGCCCGACCAUAAAUGCAUCACUUUUCUCUUUACUCGUCUUUGCAUGCAACGACGGCGACGACUUGGAGCUACUAAAAAUUGAGAGUUUCUUUUUGAAAAAGAAAAGUAGUCGUCGCAUCACGAGGACUGGAAUAGACGGGCGAAGAAGAAGAAAAAAAAGUGAUUUUUUGUUUCUUUUUUUUUUUUUGCUAUUCACUGACGUGGCACGGCAGGCCAAAGUUGUAAGCGAAAGAGAUCGUUAUGUUGAACGGCUGUGCUGAUGCUGCUGAUGUCAGUCUGCCUCGCUCUCCUCCGGCGUCGUCGGGCAUUUGUUCCGUCUUGCCGACCGGCGACUCUCGCCUUAUACUACUCACUACAUCCAUCCAACAGCAAACCCGCGCCAACGGCAGACGGGCCAGCAGCAGCAGCAGCAGC
This is a long non-coding RNA of Daphnia pulicaria, 1316 nucleotides long. RefSeq lists it as uncharacterized. NCBI's taxonomy places the organism in Eukaryota, Metazoa, Arthropoda, Branchiopoda, Diplostraca, Daphniidae. The record is from RefSeq and is a predicted model, not a curated record. The transcript has 3 exons.